UCUCGAUUGGUCUAGUGGCUAGGAUACCUGCUUGUCACUCAUUCAUUCUUCCCCAGUUCUUCACGAUAGUGAGAAUCUAGGAGUCUUGGAAAAGUCCGCAGGUGGCCGGGGUUCGAUUCCCCGAUCGAGAG
Molecule: non-coding RNA, 131 nt
Organism: Xylaria intraflava
Lineage: Eukaryota; Fungi; Ascomycota; Sordariomycetes; Xylariales; Xylariaceae
Source: the annotation of a GenBank genome assembly